GCUGGGUGUGGUGGUGCACACCUGUAAUUCCAGCUACUUGGGAAGCUGAGGCAGGAGAAUUGCUUGAACCCAGGAGGCACAGGUUGCAGUGAGCUGAGAUCAUGCCACUCUAUUCCAGCCUGGGCAACAGAGUGAGACCCUGUCUCUC
Molecule: unclassified non-coding RNA, 148 nt
Organism: Callithrix jacchus (white-tufted-ear marmoset)
Lineage: Eukaryota; Metazoa; Chordata; Mammalia; Primates; Cebidae
Rfam family: Metazoan signal recognition particle RNA
About the family: The signal recognition particle (SRP) is a universally conserved ribonucleoprotein. It is involved in the co-translational targeting of proteins to membranes.
Source: Ensembl